Arachis stenosperma is the source of this 314-nucleotide long non-coding RNA. RefSeq lists it as uncharacterized. The transcript has 3 exons. The record is from RefSeq and is a predicted model, not a curated record. NCBI's taxonomy places the organism in Eukaryota, Viridiplantae, Streptophyta, Magnoliopsida, Fabales, Fabaceae.
UCGCCGUGGCACAUUGAUAUAUCACGUGAUGUAUCUGAUCCGGGGAGAUACUGUUGGCCGUUGCAUAUUUUCAAAUCAUUAGAACAGCCAAUUAAGUACCAACUUAAAAAGAACAAGUCCUGUGAAGGUUGCAUGUUCGCCUUGCUGGUGUUGUACUUCAAGAAGCUAAAUAAUGGUGAACUCGAGAAUUGUCAAGAACCUGAGUCGUGGUUUUCUGCAUGAACUGCCGAGGAGCUUAGCGCUAUGGCAGCAACUGUUCAACCUGAGGAUUGUAGCAACCUCAGCGGGAACAAUGGUGGGGUCGUGGAAGGUGC